AGAGUUUGAUCAUGGCUCAGGAUGAACGCUGGCGGUAUGCUUAACACAUGCAAGUCGAACGAAAGUUUUUACUUUAGUGGCGAACGGGUGCGUAAUACGUGAGAAUCUGCCCCUAGGAGAAGAAUAACUACUGGAAACGGUUGCUAACUCUUCAUAUACCGAGAGGUAAAAUAGUUUUUGCUGCCUAGGGAUGAGCUCACGCCUGAUUAGCUAGUUGGUAAGGUAAUGGCUUACCAAGGCCACGAUCAGUAGCUGGUUUGAGAGAACGAUCAGCCACACUGGGACUGAGACACGGCCCAGACUCCUCCGGGAGGCAGCAGUGAGGAAUUUUCCGCAAUGGGCGAAAGCCUGACGGAGCAAUACCGCGUGGGGGAUGAAGGAUUUUGGUCUGUAAACCUCUUUUCUCAAGAAAGAAGUUCUGACGGUACUUGAGGAAUAAGCAUCGGCUAACUCCGUGCCAGCAGCCGCGGUAAUACGGGGGAUGCAAGCGUUAUCCGAAAUCAUUGGGCGUAAAGCGCCUGUAGGUUGUUUAUUAAGUCCGUUGUUAAAGCCUAGGGCUUAACCCCAGAAAAGCAAUGGAAACUAAUAGACUAGAGUAUGGUAGGGGUAGAGGGAGUUUCUAGUGUAGCGGUGAAAUGCGUAGAUAUUAGAAAGAACACCAGUGGCGAAAGCGCUCUACUGGACCAUUACUGACACUCAGAGGCGAAAGCUAGGGUAGCAAAAGGGAUUAGAUACCCCUGUAGUCCUAGCCGUAAACGAUGGAUACUAGAUGUUGUGCUUAUAGUACAGUAUCGUAGCUAACGCGUUAAGUAUCCCGCCUGGGGAGUACGCUCGCAAGGGUGAAACUCAAAGGAAUUGACGGGGGCCCGCACAAGCGGUGGAG
This 883-nucleotide ribosomal RNA is filed under the name uncultured bacterium. Its description in RNAcentral is "bacterial SSU rRNA". It matches the Rfam family "Bacterial small subunit ribosomal RNA", at positions 8 to 937 of the family's 1533-position model. The record is from RNAcentral.